GUCAAAUACUUAAUUCAUUUGGUGAAAUCAAGAAGUGACUUCAUUUUGAUUCUAAUGUUGAAUGAUUACCAACCAUUAUAUAUGUAUAAAUAAAUUAACAUAAAUUUGGGGCCUAUAAUAAAUUUUAAAUGAAAAUUGAAAAUAUUAGUAGGUAAAUUCGAAGCACGUCAAAGAAUACUAACUACCGGUUUGAUUUCAUCACGCGGCCGCACAAGGCUAUUCACAGCCACAGCGUGAGUCACCGACCACAAUCGUCCUGCCUACCGCCUGGUUGCACCGGACGCUCAAUACAGGCCGAUACCAUUUACGCACGACCACCGUUCAUUGUAUGACCGUAAGCGUAAUUGAAACGCGUUUAUCUUUACUACUACCGUAUGCUACUUUUGAUUUUGAUCACACACUCACCCAAGAGAUUUAUUGAAAUCGAAGCUUUUUAUAUCUCAUGCUAUUUAUUGACAUUUCAAAAAAAUUAUAUAGAAUUUCGGAGCCAUUAGGCUCAUAGGUAUUAUGGAAACGAAAAAGCCAAGCGAAACAAUAAGUCUCUAUAUAUGUAUAUUAACGAAAAUUUAUAUUUUUAUAUCAUUUUAUUUAUUUUUAUUAUUUAUUAUUAUUUACUUAUUGUUGUCAAUAUUAUUAUAAGAGUAGGUGGUUUUGAGUCGAAAGGAUUCGGAUUUAAUUUCAACAGUGAAUUCCAUUUAUUAUUUGAUACAUUAAAAAACAGGCUAUUUAUAUUAAUUUCCUCUCAGAGAGGACAGUAUACUGGUGAAUGUACUGUAUUUUACCAGUCCAACAUUCACAGGUUAGCUGAUCAUUAUAAGUAAUUAGUCAUAAAGUUCAUUUUAAAUUAAAUAUUGUAAACAUGAUGUUCUAUAAUGUAAAUAUGAAUGUGUGUAAUGCUUAUAUAACUCUGAUAACUUCUCAAUAUUUUCGUCAUUACCAAUAUAAUUUUCACAUACCCCCAAUGGGACACUAAAAUACCCCAGGAGUACCCACACCACUGGUUGUGAAUCGCUGCCGCAGCUCAUAGCACCAACAGCGUGAAUCCUGUCAUCUACCUUGUAAUGGAAUUCUAUCAAAAAACAUGGGCCAUUUAGAAAGGGGUCUCAACAAGUCUCAUUGAUUGGACCAUGGAUGAAAGUCGUUGUGGCCUAAAGGAUAAGACGUCCGGUGCAUUCAUGUUGAGUGAUGCACCGAUGUUCGAAUCCCAGGCGGGUACCAAUUUUUCUAAUGAAAUACGUACUCAACAAAUGUUCACGAUUGACUUACAUGGCGCAGAAAUAACAUUGUCUAACAAAAAUGAAAAACGCAAAAUUAUAAUUUGCGUAAUUACUGGUGGUAGGACCUGUUGUGAGACCGCGCGGGUAGGUACCACCGCCCUGCCUAUUUCAGCCGUGAAGCAGUAAUGCGUUUCGGUUUGAAGGGUAAGACAGCCGCUGUAACUAUACUGAGAUCUUAGAACUUAUAUCUUAAGGUGGGUGGCGCAUUUACGUUGUAGAUGUCUAUGGGCUCUAGUAACCACUUAACACCAGGUGGGCUGUGAGUUCGUCCAACCAUCUAAGUAAUAAAAUAAAUAAUAGUUUAAAAAAAAUAACAAAAUACGCUUUUAUAUAAAAUCCAACUAAAAAAUAGAAAAUAUAUUUUAAUAAAUUUGAUUUAAAAAUAGUGUAAGAAAAAAUUAUUUUAUAGUAAAAAAAGUGUGGGGUGCUUUUCAGGAUAUUAUCAAAAUAGACCUUCUAGUCAUAUCUGUUCAUAACAUAUUUAUAACUACUGAUAUUAUGCAUUUGGAUUUUACUAUGGAUUUUAUAUGAAAGCGUAUUUUGUUAGUUUUUUAAACUAUUAUUAGUUUUUCAUUUUUUAGUUGAAUUUCAAUUUUUUCAAUAUUUUUUUUAAUAUUGAAUUGUCAUCGGUCCAUGUCGGUCAAAAUCAUGUUCAAAGAUUCCGUUACAAACAUACGUCUGAAGCUACUAAAAGCGUUUUAAAAAAAAUAUUUAACUACACUUUUUUAAUAUCAUGAUCAACCAUGACUACUUCCAGACACCACAUAUAUACCAUAGACAUAAUAUAGUUGGCAUCACAAAUACAAAUUACUUAUUAACAAAAAAAUGUAGCUUUAUCCAUUAUGCACUUUGAUAAAGCUAUAUUUUACUUACACAUAAUUUUUAUUGCUAAGUAAGCCAUUUCUUCUUUUAUAAUUAUAUUUAUAAGCAUGUAUAGUGUGUGUAUAAUAUAAGUGUUGUGUGGUGAAAUUGAAAAUUGGACAAACAUUCUCAUAUAGUAAAUUUUAUUACAUGUCACUGAUCCAUUAAGAGUCCUUUAAUUUAGUACACAUAUACAAAUCAAUCAUCAAAAUCAGGUAUACUGAUUAUUUUGUUUUUAUUUUAUGAAUCAAUGAUUAAGUAAUGCAUUCAACCAAUUGAUUGCCUUUUUUGCAGAACCAUGCUUUUUGUGUUUAGCACGUUUUACUUAGUAUUAAAAUAAAUAUUCUAGAAAUCAGUUUAAUGUCUUAAACAGAUUUUUGUAUUGUUUGGUGUUAGUUUCUUGAAAUCUACAAAAAUGAGUUUGUUUAAUGUGUAAUUCCUAGGUGCAUAGGGAAUUUGUUAAACUUUAUUUUGUGCCUUUCCUAAUUAUUUUUUUUUUUAAUUAUCUUCACAGUAUCAUGAAAGAUAACAAUAAUUGACAAAAAUAAAAUAUCGAGUAGCUAGAUAGCUGUGUUAAGCAUCACCAUUAUUUAAAAAUAAUUUAUAAAAAUUAAAGUACCAAUGCAUCAUCCCGAUUCAGCAUAAUAUAGACAGUAAGCUAACAGCGUGUAAACUUACCAAUAACGCAAAAAGUGCUGCCCAAUAAACACAAUCCUAUGCGCAAACAAACGGCCCGGUUCAGACUACUUGUCACACGUCGUGAAAAGUAGCUGAUGGGACAAUUCCACCGUUGAUCAUUAGGCUGCUGCUCGUACGUUACCGUCGUAGGUUGAUACACGGCACUCGUUGGCAUUGUCACUGAUUUUAAUUGAAUUUGCUUUUGGAAAAAAACAAUUUUGCACUUGCCUUUUUAACAACAACUUCACUUUCACAAGAACUACGUGAAUUACUACUACAAGAAAAGAAAAGCGUGUGUAGAGUGCACUAUUUAAAAACCAAAAUCACGUCAAGCAGUCGAAGAAUACAAAACUCAAGAUCAACUUUUAGUUUUUUUUUUAAGUGACUCAAUUGAACAAGCAAAGGGAACAUUGUUUAUACAGUGCCAAAAUUUAACAAACUUCAAACCUCGUUUGAAGAAACACAUAUCAUAGCGCUAACAAACACCGUGGAGGGAACUUAAUUAAAAAAAAUGAUGAAUGAUGGUACGUAGCAAAAAAUAAUGCUGGAAAUGUAUUGUGUACAGCACUAAAAUAAAAGGCUCCUUCUCAGUGAACGUAAGCCCGUAUCUUCAAUGCCUUCGCCGUCGGCAGGAUCCGAAGGCUGGGUCUGGAGGCGGUACUCGAGAAAUCCUAGGCCCUGUUGUUUUACGGAGCCCGGAGAGCUUCACCUCAAAGGUCCCGCGACGUCCGCAGCCCGCAAUUGCAAUCAAGGCGGUUCGCGGGUACCGCACCGUUUCGGUCGAGGCGGCGUGCGUGCUUGCCGGGACGCCUCUCUGGGACCUGGAAUCGGAGGCGCUCGCUGCGGAUUACGCGUGGCGAUGCGAUCUCCGCUUCAAGGGCGAACCGCGUCCUGGCACGGCAGAAAUUCGAGUGCGGAAGCUUCAAUUUCGGCGUGCCGUGCUCGAUGCGUGGUGAAGGCGAUCCGCCCGGUCCUCUCGGAUUGAUUGAAUCGCGACCAAGGACGUCUCAACGACGCAGGUGCUUACGGGAUACGUCUAUUUCGGCCGUUACCUGCACCUCGCCGCCCGAAGGAAGCCGACGCCGAAGUGCCACCACUGUAGUGGAUGUAACGAGGACACGGCGGAGCACACGGUUGCGUAUAUACUGCCCCGCCUUUUCGGAGCAGCGCCGCGUCCUUAUUGCAAAAUUAGGACCAGAUUUGUCGCUUCCGACCGUCGUGGCUACGAUGCUCGACAGCGAGGAGUCCUGGCAGGUGAUGCUCGAAUGCUGCGAGUCCACUAUCUCGCAGAAGGAGGCGACGGAACGGGAGAGGGAGAGCUCUUCUUCCCCCUCGGCGCCGUGGCGCUGCUCUCGAGCUUGGGGUCGGAGGAGGAUGUUCGUCCAGCUCCGACCUCUGUGACAAGGCAAUCUCCUCCCGGUGAUAGUCACAGGGCGACCUGAGGGGAUCGAGGCUGCGCUGCACGCUACCGUCAUUUUAGCGUGUUGGCACUAGGAGGAUGGGACGGCGCGUUGUCGGCUGCGGUCCGAAUUGCCGUUGUCGCUGUCGUCCCCGAACACACUGUGAAAGAACAACCCGGCGGGCAGUGUAUCGCGUUCCAAUCCGGCAGCAGGCCGAAAAAAAAACCCGUAUCUUCAAUAGGUUGAAUUGAACUGAUUUCAAUUCACCAUGUUCCGAGACAUGUUCCAGAGUUCCCCACUUCAGACACAAGUUUCGAUCGCCUAACCUUCACACAACGAUGCCAGAAACUGUUGGACGCUAUAUCGCACAUCAUACCGCGCAUAGUAAGGUUUUUUUUUGCUCUUGUAGGCAGACGAACAUACAGCCCACCUGAUGGUGAGUAGUUACCGUCGCUCAUGCACGCCAGCAAUAGCAGGCGAAUAGCCAAGCCGCUGCCUACCGCUGCUCUCCGGAAGUCUCAUCUGUAGAAGGACAUAUCAUAGUGCCUGGGAAACACUGUAGAGGGGAGAGUUCAUUCCAAAGCCGGAUGGUGCAAAAAUGAUCUCUGGAAACUACUGUGGAUGAACGCAGUGAAAUGUUAUUUGUAGUUAUAAUAAAUAUUGAAUAAAAACAGUCUUAUAGUGCAAAAAUAUUUAAUAUGAUUUAAAUAUAAGUUGUCUAUGGCUAAUAAAUAUUUUAUAUCUCUAAGGCUCGCCUCUGUCGGAACAGAACAAUAGUAAAUAGACAAUUAUCUUUACUAAUCAACGAAAAUAUCCAAUAACAUAGUAUCUACAUCUGCGCGGUCCGACAUUUUUACAUUUCAGUACCCACAGAUUUAGUUGUUACUAUACUCUACGACAGCGAGUACGAUAACAUCACUAUAGGCCUAUCGCUAAUCUUGCAGAGUGCUGUCAGUUUUAUGCGAGGUCCUGAUGGCGUGAGGAGUCACAAAGCGCAUAUUAUUGAAGUACAAGAGCCAUACAAAUGUAGUUAAAGUGAAUAGAUGGAUCGCGAUUAGGAUCCGGCCGGAGAAUCUGCGAAGCACUGCUCUUACUAUGGCUAGUGUUAGCAAAUUCUCUCAAAUUGAGCCCGUGAGCUCACCUACCCGUCCGCGCGUAACUGGAAUAGCCCCUUAGGCUAAAGCGAAUAGGUAGGGGGGAAAAAGGGGAGAGUGUUGAAUUUCAAGUUGAGAAGUUGCCACCUGGGUUACUUUUAUUGGUAAUAACACAACCAAAAUAGAUUCAACUAAGUUUUCCAACUAUGAACUUUGUAUUAUUCAAAAUAAAAAUCAUUUUAGAAUAGCUCUGUCGCUCCUGCACCAUGCCAGUACCUCAGUGAACUUCUCGGUUAAGCGAUAGUCCUUGUUACUUUAAAUUACAACUAACAGCCCUGCAACAGGUAAAAGGCACUUGUUUUAACUAAUUCAUAGUAUUGAGUUUUACAAUUUUUAAAUGAAAUUCAUUUUGUAUAAAUUGUUAUUAAUGAUUUGUAAUGUACACCUGAACACGUACUGUUGUUCUCAGAGUACUUACAGACUUAAGACAAAUAUUAUUAAAUUAGGCAAAAUAUACAAAAGUCUGAACAAUAAAGAAACGGAUAAAAAACUAAAAAGAAUAGAUUUAAAAUCAUUAUGUCUACUGCUUUUAUGUUGCGCAUUAUUUAUUAGACAAUUCAUUAAAAAAAAUACAAUACAAUUAUUAAUAUGUAGUUUGUUUUUGAACAUUAUCUAUCAUAAUAGUUUUGUUUGAGAAAUUAAAUUUAUUUUUAGUGUACUUUUGUAUGUUUUGAUUUACAAGUAUCUUCCUUACAAAGUCUAGUUCCGAUUUUAUUUGAUUAGUUUGUUUUGUGGUAUGAUCAGUGUAGUUUAUAAAUCAUAGAAAAGUUAAAAUUCACAAAAGUAUAAAUUUACAGAAUAAAAACGGUUACAUUAAAUUAUAAAAAUACAAUCUUAACAUAAUAUAAACAGUAAAUGGAAGAAUUCUUAAAAUUAAUACGAAUAAUAUAGUACAACCGUCAGUCGUUUAAAGUGAAUUAACUGUGUGUAAGUAAACCAUUCCCGAUGUCGAGUUGGGAAUAAAUCACUACUCUUAGGGCCUGUGCACACCGCGUUUUUUAAACGCGCCGUCGACGCGCGUUCGUAGCGAUACAGACGCGAUACGCACGCAAGUCAGACGCAGCCUGUAACCCUUUGCACACCUGUACAAAUUCAAAUACGCGUUUGAAUCGAUACAGACGUCAUGCUAACGCGCGUUUGUAUCACGUUUGUAUCGAUACAAACGACAAGAAAUCAUUCUGUGGGAUAAAAACGCACCGUCGACGCGCGUUUGUAUCGAUACAGACGACAACAAACCGCUCUGUAGGAUAAAAGCGCGUCGACGGCGCGCUUAAAAAACGUGGUGUGCACAAGCACUUACUCCAACGGAGAAUUAUAUUAAUAUGAUACAAUACAUGAAUUUUAUUGCCCUAAAAGGCAGCACGAACCCAUCAAUGCUAGGGGUAAGUCUGAGCCGCGCCCUACCGAAGACUCAUUUCGAACCUCAAUGGAAGUACUAGGCAUUAUGUUCGAGUAAUCUAAAGCCGGAAACGUUUAUUUUUCAGUUAGGUCGUAUUAGAAAACAUUUGGUAUUCGAAAUCUUAAAUCGUAUUAGAUUAUAUUUUGAUCGACAUAUCGUAUUAGAAAACGUUGCCUCUUUUAUAUUCAUCAAGAUAGUCGCUUUUGGAUUGUAUUGCGUUGCGUGCAAGGUUGCUUUCAAAUAAUACCUAAGCAAGCUUGGCGGGCGGAGGGAUAUUCUUUAUCUUUUGAUUGUAAAAUUUGUUUUGAUUACAUUGAAACAAAUAUACAUAAUUUUCAAUAAAAAUGAAUAAUUAUAAUAAUACCAAAUUUAACAUUUAUGUAAACAGACGUAGUGGAGUCUAAAAUCAUUAAAAUUUUCUUAGACAAUACUCGAACGCAAAAAGCAUUACUGAGGUAACCCACCUUUUUCAGGUUUAAUGUGUUGGAAAUCACCAGUGCUAAAACAUUUCUUCGUUUUCGGGAACGCUUUUAAUACACAUUUUUGUUUAUAAUAUCAAUAUUGUCUAUGCAAAUGAAACAAUACAAUAUCCGUGUUUUUAUAAGGCACCACAAAACUGAGCAUUAGCUGAGACAAAAAAGUUUCACAAAUUUUGUUUUAUACCUAUAUAAUAUCGUUUUGUACUAAUAAACUUACCUAUUCCAUAUGUCAGUAACAUUGGUAUAUUUUGUACACAAAUACGUAGUUUUAAAAAAAAAAAAAAAAAGAUUUUUUUACAUAUACACACACACAUAACACUACAUAUCAAACAACCAAUAACCAAAGAUAGUUGAACUAAAUUAGGCCUUAAUGACACGAGUUAAACUAGGUAUACAUUAGUUUUCCAUUGUUUCGUUUGACCAAUAAUAUUUAAUAGAUGAAUUAUUUAUUAGCUGUAAAACGUAAUAUGAGUUCGAUGAACCCUGAACACUGACCGAUUCAGAUUGAUUGUUGUUUGUCAGUAGAGGUGCAUUUUGUAUGCUUAAAUUUUAUACUAUUUUUUUGCAUUGCACUAGCUGUAAAUAUACGAGUAGUACAUUUGCUCGUUACUGUCAAUAAAAGUUAUCUAUAUUGAGAGACUCUGUAAUUGUAUCAAAAAAAAUGAAAUAAAAGAAAAUAUGUGUAUC
Molecule: long non-coding RNA, 7935 nt
Organism: Bombyx mori (domestic silkworm)
Lineage: Eukaryota; Metazoa; Arthropoda; Insecta; Lepidoptera; Bombycidae
Exons: 2
Source: RefSeq, a predicted model, not a curated record